Long non-coding RNA from Orbicella faveolata, 2457 nucleotides. Lineage: Eukaryota; Metazoa; Cnidaria; Anthozoa; Scleractinia; Merulinidae. The record is from RefSeq and is a predicted model, not a curated record.
AACUAUAAAACAAAGAAAAUAUUCAUACUGUGAAGGUUAGUAAAUUUUAAAAAAAGCUAGCUUUAUACUUAGAAAGAUCAACUUUAGCAUAACUGUUAGACCUACAUAGACCAAGCUUCAUGUGUUGGAAUAUUUUUCAAGGAUUUGCAUUUAGUGACAACCUAAAUUGAGAGCAUUGCAUGAGUAAUGAAAUAACAAAUCAAUAAAUACUAAAAUUGUUGACUUCAGCAAAGUCAUGGUCUCCUGGGGAAAGGUAUAUAUGGUGCAAAAUACUGUUUCCAGUAGUGCAAUGCGCUUACGAAAAGCCAGUGGUUUCAGGUCAAUGGAUUUCAACUUUCACCUGACAAUUCAGCAAAUUUAUGUUUUGAUUUGACUUAGUUACGUCUAUUGAAAGCAACUUCCGGACAAUUAAACCUUGCUGUAAGGUAGUCUAUGGGGCUAAAAUUUAGUGUUUUACCAUCUUGGUAACAGUAGCUGAUGUAAUUUACCAAUUUCCAGAGCUUUUUGUUUUUAAUUUGAAUUUUACUCAGACAUGAAAAAACUGACUGAUACUACCAAAUCAAAUUUUAAACUCAAGACAGUACCUCACUCACACAUACAGUUCUCACUUAAGUGUUAAAGAAAUUCGUAUUUGCUUCAUUCUGCAUUACCACUCUAAGAACCUGGCUCAAAUAACUUGUGCCGCUUUGUCAUCCAAUCACAAGAGAAACAAAAACCAACUGUGACUACGCUGCACACACAGCAAAACUCAAAUUUGGCCAACAAUUGUAAAAAUUACACCCCAGCUAAAGAAUCAUACAUGUUAAUCUAAGAUUAUGCUGACAACUAGAUGGAGUGGGUAUGGACAAAUUAUUCAAACCUUUGCUUGCCACAGAAAAAUUACUGUGGUUGAAAAUGUCUGAUCCUAUGCAACAACCAUCUUGAAGGAAAAGCAAAAAGAGAGCAAAGAUGGCGGACUUACCGAACGUGGGAGAAGAUAGUCCUAAAAGAACGCGGGUAUUCGUGAAUCAUGUGGAUUUAUUCACUGGUAAAAAUAUCAGCAAGAUAUUAGCAUCCUCUGUUGUCGGUGCUACAGCAGAGGAAGAUGAAGGCAACGAUGAUGAGUCCCAAGCUAGUGGACAGCCUCAAAUUCCAAAGGAAAAUUGUUAUGAAGUAGUUGGUACCUUGCAAGAUCCAACUCAACGCAAACCUGAAUGGGUUGAGGACGUGUUUGAGGUGUGUGCUUUAGGUUUUACAGUAAAUCUCUGUAAGGUUUACAGUAAGAUCUCUGUAAACCGAUUUCUUUCUUUUUGUGUGCAAUUCUUCCCAUCUUUAAGCCGGGGGGGGGGGGGGGGGGGGGGCUGAAAUUUUGUUGCGAUUACAUGACGAAUUUCAGCCCGGACUGAAAUAUUAGCCUCGACGCCAAAUAUGUAACUGCGCGCGAAGAGUCUCAGGAGAGGCGCCGAGAACAUGAAUCGUGAAAAUAGGCGCAUUGGUUCUCUCGCAGUUCAGCCUUUUGUUGGCGCUCAAUUUUCAACCUUUUUGGGAUGGUAACAGCCUACAAGAUGAUGGAACUGAAACGAAACCUGUCUUUUGCUACAUAUCUCUCAGCCAGAAAUACACACUUGCAUAGAAAGAGAAGAUAUCUUCAAGCUCGCCGAGUUCGCCGAAAGCAUUGAACUCGAAGUUCUUAUAUUCCACCUGAGCUUUGAAAUUUGCGAGACAACGAAUAAGAUUCUCUAUUUCGACGCCUUUAUUCCACUGAAAUUGCUUCUCCUUCGUAGCGGCAGUCAUCUUGUUUCCCAUGGGAUUUUUUUCCCAUUUUUCAGCCCAUUUGCCAGGUUUUUCAAACUGGGCAAGGAUUUUCAGCCUGGGCUGAAUUACUGCCCGAGAUGAAUCCUUCUCCAUGUGAUAGCCAAUUUAAUUAUAAGAGGAUUUGUUUCAGAAGCCGGGCUGAAAUUCGCCAUGUAAUCAGGCCCUUCAACACGGCAGAAACUCGACUCUGAUUCAGACUUCGUGCUAGAGUCGUACCAAAAUCAAGAUUCACUGAAGCCAUGUAACUAUUCUCCUAGUAACUCCCUACGAAAACGCAAUCCUAUCAAAAUACAUUAAUAAUUUAUGAAUUUUGUUUGGCGCGGCAAACACGACGUUUAAAUUGCCGCCGUGCAAGAGUCGUGUAAAGCCUGGUUCUGAUAUCCCGCCGACCUACCUGCGACGUAGUCGCCGGUUGCAGCUUACGUUCAGCGAUCUGUUUGAGUGGGUCCCCGGCGCAUCUGCGAUGGAUCGCCGACGUACUCUAAUUGGCGCGGAAUGCAAAUCGAAUUGGCGCAACUUUCAACCAUUCUACCUGUAAAUAUGGAUCGAAUCGUCUUACUGGAGUACGUUGCGUCCGCAGAUGAUGUUCACAUAAAAUAUUUUCAUCGCCGAUAAUCGCCGACAACCGCCGGGUUGCCUACGAAGUUGAACUCAGCUCAACUU